AACGAACGCUGGCGGCAUGCCUAACACAUGCAAGUCGAACGAGACCUUCGGGUCUAGUGGCGCACGGGUGCGUAACGCGUGGGAAUCUGCCCUUGGGUUCGGAAUGACAGUUGGAAACGACUGCUAAUACCGGAUGAUGACGUAAGUCCAAAGAUUUAUCGCCCAAGGAUGAGCCCGCGUAGGAUUAGCUAGUUGGUGAGGUAAAGGCUCACCAAGGCGACGAUCCUUAGCUGGUCUGAGAGGAUGAUCAGCCACACUGGGACUGAGACACGGCCCAGACUCCUACGGGAGGCAGCAGUGGGGAAUAUUGGACAAUGGGCGAAAGCCUGAUCCAGCAAUGCCGCGUGAGUGAUGAAGGCCUUAGGGUUGUAAAGCUCUUUUACCCGGGAUGAUAAUGACAGUACCGGGAGAAUAAGCUCCGGCUAACUCCGUG
RNAcentral lists this ribosomal RNA (433 nucleotides) under uncultured bacterium. RNAcentral's name for it is "partial 16S ribosomal RNA". It matches the Rfam family "Bacterial small subunit ribosomal RNA", at positions 29 to 507 of the family's 1533-position model. The record is from RNAcentral.